Marmota flaviventris (yellow-bellied marmot) is the source of this 265-nucleotide non-coding RNA. NCBI's taxonomy places the organism in Eukaryota, Metazoa, Chordata, Mammalia, Rodentia, Sciuridae. The record is from RefSeq and is a predicted model, not a curated record.
AUGAGCAGACACUCGGUGGCAGUCACUUCGCAGACCAGACUUCUCUCGUUCACGCGUCUUGCUCCGCUUCCUCAGAAACCCUGUCUGACAAACCCGAUAUGGCUGAGAUCGAGAAAUUCAAUAAGUCGAAAUUGAAGAAGACAGAAACCCAAGAGAAAAAUCCUCUGCCUUCAAAAGAAACGAUUGAACAGGAGAAGCAAGCAGGCGAAUCUUAAUGAGGCGUGCACCGCCAAUAUGCACUCUACAUUCCACAAGCAUUGCCUCC